RNAcentral lists this ribosomal RNA (460 nucleotides) under uncultured bacterium. Its description in RNAcentral is "partial 16S ribosomal RNA". It matches the Rfam family "Bacterial small subunit ribosomal RNA", at positions 338 to 795 of the family's 1533-position model. The record is from RNAcentral.
CCUACGGGAGGCAGCAGUGAGGAAUAUUGGUCAAUGGCCGUAAGGCUGAACCAGCCAAGUCGCGUGAAGGAAGAAGGAUCUAUGGUUUGUAAACUUCUUUUAUCGGGGAAUAAAGGUAUCCACGUGUGGCUAUUUGCAUGUACCCUAUGAAUAAGCAUCGGCUAACUCCGUGCCAGCAGCCGCGGUAAUACGGAGGAUGCGAGCGUUAUCCGGAUUUAUUGGGUUUAAAGGGUGCGCAGGUGGUUUUUUAAGUCAGCGGUGAAAGUUUGGGGCUCAACCAUAGAAGUGCCGUUGAAACUGGAGGGCUUGAGUGUGAUGGAGGUAGGCGGAAUGCGUGGUGUAGCGGUGAAAUGCUUAGAUAUCACGCAGAACUCCGAUUGCGAAGGCAGCGUACUAAGCCAUAACUGACGCUGAGGCACGAAAGCGUGGGUAUCGAACAGGAUUAGAUACCCCAGUAGUC